GAUGAAGAACGUAGCGAAAUGCGAUAAGUAAUGUGAAUUGCAGAAUUCAGUGAAUCAUCGAAUCUUUGAACGCAUCUUGCGCUCCUUGGUAUUCUGAGGAGCAUGCCUGUUUGAGUGUCAUUAAAUUCUCAACUACACUGACUUUGAAUUGGUGUGGCUUGGAUUUGGGGGGAAAAUUGUUGUGGGCUUUUUGUAUAGUCUGCUCCCCUGAAAUUGAUUAGCGGUACCUUUGUGGAACUGUCUACAGGUGUGAUAAUUAUCUACAUCUUAGACAUCUGCUGGAAUGCUGCUUUCUAAACCUUUCUUGUAUUGACAAUCUUGACCUCAAAUCAGGUAGGACUACCCGCUGAACUUAAGCAUAUCAAUAAGCGGAGGA
This 376-nucleotide unclassified non-coding RNA is filed under the name soil metagenome. Its description in RNAcentral is "partial contains 5.8S ribosomal RNA, internal transcribed spacer 2, and large subunit ribosomal RNA". The stretch from base 1 to 120 matches the Rfam family "5.8S ribosomal RNA", at positions 35 to 154 of the family's 154-position model. The record is from RNAcentral.